Molecule: small nuclear RNA, 115 nt
Organism: Alligator mississippiensis (American alligator)
Lineage: Eukaryota; Metazoa; Chordata; Crocodylia; Alligatoridae
Rfam family: U5 spliceosomal RNA
About the family: U5 RNA is a component of both types of known spliceosome. The precise function of this molecule is unknown, though it is known that the 5' loop is required for splice site selection and p220 binding, and that both the 3' stem-loop and the Sm site are important for Sm protein binding and cap methylation.
Source: Rfam
GGACUCUGGUUCUCCUUCAAGUCCUAUAAAUCUUUUGCCUUUUACUAAGAAUGUCUGUGGAGAGAAGCAGUUGUGAGUCUGACCCCAAUUCUUGAGGCCCUGCUGCAAUGGGGCU